Quercus robur (English oak) is the source of this 880-nucleotide long non-coding RNA. RefSeq lists it as uncharacterized. NCBI's taxonomy places the organism in Eukaryota, Viridiplantae, Streptophyta, Magnoliopsida, Fagales, Fagaceae. The transcript has 3 exons. The record is from RefSeq and is a predicted model, not a curated record.
UAUAUAUAAAUACUGGUAGCUAAUUGCAGCUUUUUUCUAUGUUACAAUCUAACAUGUGGUGAAAUUUGUUCUAGAAACUGAUUUGCACUUUUUAGCCAACUAAAUUAAUUUUUUGUAGAAAAUACAUAAACAUAACUGGUUAUGGCUAGCUAUCUCCUAGCAGCAAAAGUCAGCUUUAUGAGUGGUCCAGGAGGGUGCUUUCUUGAGGACAUUGCCCGAAUGCUGCUGCUUUAUUUCCUAAUUGUCAAGUGUCAACUGUGUCUAUGUCAAUUGAAGAUGAAUUGUUUUGCAUGAGUUAUUGCUUGAGAAAGACAAAAAUCUUAUGGAUUUUGAAAGUGUGAAGCAGUGGAUGUCCGAAGAAUUUGAGAGGCCACACACUUGUCCAGUUGAUGAUUGCCAUUCCAGCUAUUGAAGAAAGGACCACUUGACUCAGCAUCUGCAUCUUCUUUAGCACAAAGAAAACUGUGGCCAAGGUAACAUGCAUGACACGAAUAGGGUGUGGAAUGGCUUUCAGAUUUUCAUCAAAACUGCAAAAGCAUGACAAAUCACAUAUUAAACUAGAUUCGGUGGAGGCACUUUGCUGCGGACCAGGUUGCAUGAAUAAUAUUGCUAAUGAUCAAUGCCUUGAGGCUCACAUCCAAUCCAGCCACCAACUUGGUACUUGUGAGUUGUGAGAUAUGUUGGACCAAGCGGCACCUAUGAAAGAAUGAAAUGCUCCUAUGAGUGUUUUCUUCACACUUUUUCAUUUUUUUUUUUUUUUUUUUUUUGGAAGAACGCACAAUUUCAACUGAAAGAUACUGCAAUUUUAAGAAUUUUUAUUCAUACUGCACUUUUAAGAAUUUUCAUUGAAUAAAGAUCCCCUUAGAAAUGCUUAUUAUAA